ACCUCAAACAGACAACUACUUCCCUAGGGACAGCAUAGGGAUAGCAUCUGUCUCUACGGGCAGAAGUCUGACGUGGGAGAUGUAGUGGGUUAGCAACGGCGGGAUACCUGCGCAGUGAAGUGUUCGAGGCCUGUUCAGACAGAUGAGCUGCAGCCAAUUAGGGACAUCAUUAGGGUUAGUUAGUAGUUGUCUGUCUUUUUCUCUCUUUCGUAAAUAGUCAUUUUAAAGGGGAACUGUUGUGGACAAAAAUAUUAACCCAAUUCGUGUUAGUAAAAU
Molecule: non-coding RNA, 276 nt
Organism: Pelobates cultripes (western spadefoot toad)
Lineage: Eukaryota; Metazoa; Chordata; Amphibia; Anura; Pelobatidae
Source: the annotation of a GenBank genome assembly